This 1229-nucleotide ribosomal RNA is filed under the name Staphylococcus aureus. RNAcentral's name for it is "partial 23S ribosomal RNA". It matches the Rfam family "Bacterial large subunit ribosomal RNA", at positions 228 to 1461 of the family's 2925-position model. Lineage: Bacteria; Bacillati; Bacillota; Bacilli; Caryophanales; Staphylococcaceae. The record is from RNAcentral.
AAUUCGAUUCCCUUAGUAGCGGCGAGCGAAACGGGAAGAGCCCAAACCAACAAGCUUGCUUGUUGGGGUUGUAGGACACUCUAUACGGAGUUACAAAGGACGACAUUAGACGAAUCAUCUGGAAAGAUGAAUCAAAGAAGGUAAUAAUCCUGUAGUCGAAAAUGUUGUCUCUCUUGAGUGGAUCCUGAGUACGACGGAACACGUGAAAUUCCGUCGGAAUCUGGGAGGACCAUCUCCUAAGGCUAAAUACUCUCUAGUGACCGAUAGUGAACCAGUACCGUGAGGGAAAGGUGAAAAGCACCCCGGAAGGGGAGUGAAAUAGAACCUGAAACCGUGUGCUUACAAGUAGUCAGAGCCCGUUAAUGGGUGAUGGCGUGCCUUUUGUAGAAUGAACCGGCGAGUUACGAUUUGAUGCAAGGUUAAGCAGUAAAUGUGGAGCCGUAGCGAAAGCGAGUCUGAAUAGGGCGUUUAGUAUUUGGUCGUAGACCCGAAACCAGGUGAUCUACCCUUGGUCAGGUUGAAGUUCAGGUAACACUGAAUGGAGGACCGAACCGACUUACGUUGAAAAGUGAGCGGAUGAACUGAGGGUAGCGGAGAAAUUCCAAUCGAACCUGGAGAUAGCUGGUUCUCUCCGAAAUAGCUUUAGGGCUAGCCUCAAGUGAUGAUUAUUGGAGGUAGAGCACUGUUUGGACGAGGGGCCCCUCUCGGGUUACCGAAUUCAGACAAACUCCGAAUGCCAAUUAAUUUAACUUGGGAGUCAGAACAUGGGUGAUAAGGUCCGUGUUCGAAAGGGAAACAGCCCAGACCACCAGCUAAGGUCCCAAAAUAUAUGUUAAGUGGAAAAGGAUGUGGCGUUGCCCAGACAACUAGGAUGUUGGCUUAGAAGCAGCCAUCAUUUAAAGAGUGCGUAAUAGCUCACUAGUCGAGUGACACUGCGCCGAAAAUGUACCGGGGCUAAACAUAUUACCGAAGCUGUGGAUUGUCCUUUGGACAAUGGUAGGAGAGCGUUCUAAGGGCGUUGAAGCAUGAUCGUAAGGACAUGUGGAGCGCUUAGAAGUGAGAAUGCCGGUGUGAGUAGCGAAAGACGGGUGAGAAUCCCGUCCACCGAUUGACUAAGGUUUCCAGAGGAAGGCUCGUCCGCUCUGGGUUAGUCGGGUCCUAAGCUGAGGCCGACAGGCGUAGGCGAUGGAUAACAGGUUGAUAUUCCUGUACCACCUAUAAUCGUUUUA